RNAcentral lists this ribosomal RNA (653 nucleotides) under uncultured low G+C Gram-positive bacterium. RNAcentral's name for it is "bacterial SSU rRNA". It matches the Rfam family "Bacterial small subunit ribosomal RNA", at positions 26 to 642 of the family's 1533-position model. Lineage: Bacteria; Bacillati; Bacillota. The record is from RNAcentral.
CAGACGAACGCUGGCGGCGUGCCUAAUACAUGCAAGUCGAACGCUUCUUUCCUCCCGAGUGCUUGCACUCAAUCGGAAAGAGGAGUGGCGGACGGGUGAGUAACGCGUGGGUAACCUACCCAUCAGAGGGGGAUAACACUUGGAAACAGGUGCUAAUACCGCAUAACAGUUUAUGCCGCAUGGCAUAAGAGUGAAAGGCGCUUUCGGGUGUCGCUGAUGGAUGGACCCGCGGUGCAUUAGCUAGUUGGUGAGGUAACGGCUCACCAAGGCCACGAUGCAUAGCCGACCUGAGAGGGUGAUCGGCCACACUGGGACUGAGACACGGCCCAGACUCCUACGGGAGGCAGCAGUAGGGAAUCUUCGGCAAUGGACGAAAGUCUGACCGAGCAACGCCGCGUGAGUGAACGAAGGUUUUCGGAUCGUAAAACUCUGUCGUUCAGAGAAGAACAAGGACGUUAGUAACUGAACGUCCCCUGACGGUCAUCUAACCAGAAAGCCACGGCUAACUACGUGCCAGCAGCCGCGGUAAUACGUAGGUGGCAAGCGUUGUCCGGAUUUAUCGGGCGUAAAGCGAGCGCAGGCGGCUUUCUUAAGUCUGAUGUGGCAAGCCCCCGGCUCAACCGGGGAGGGUCAUCGGGAACGCUGGGGACACU